This 1204-nucleotide ribosomal RNA is filed under the name uncultured bacterium. RNAcentral's name for it is "bacterial SSU rRNA". It matches the Rfam family "Bacterial small subunit ribosomal RNA", at positions 39 to 1228 of the family's 1533-position model. The record is from RNAcentral.
GGGGCUUGCGCAGCUACACAUGCAGUCGAACGGCAGCACAGCCGGAGCAAUCCGGUGGGUGGCGAGUGGCGGACGGGUGAGGAAUACAUGGGAAUCUACCCUGUCGUGGGGGAUAACGUAGGGAAACUUACGCUAAUACCGCAUACGACCGAGAGGUGAAAGCGGCGGACCGCAAGGCGUCGCGCGACUGGAUGAGCCCAUGUCGGAUUAGCUAGUUGGCGGGGUAAAGGCCCACCAAGGCGACGAUCCGUAGCUGGUCUGAGAGGAUGAUCAGCCACACUGGAACUGAGACACGGUCCAGACUCCUACGGGAGGCAGCAGUGGGGAAUAUUGGACAAUGGGCGCAAGCCUGAUCCAGCCAUGCCGCGUGGGUGAAGAAGGCCUUCGGGUUGUAAAGCCCUUUUGUCCGGAAAGAAAAGUCUUCGGUUAAUACCCGGGGAUGAUGACGGUACCGGAAGAAUAAGCACCGGCUAACUUCGUGCCAGCAGCCGCGGUAAUACGAAGGGUGCAAGCGUUACUCGGAAUUACUGGGCGUAAAGCGUGCGUAGGUGGUUUGUUAAGUCUGAUGUGAAAGCCCUGGGCUCAACCUGGGAAUGGCAUUGGAUACUGGCGAGCUAGAGUGCGGUAGAGGGCAGUGGAAUUCCCGGUGUAGCAGUGAAAUGCGUAGAGAUCGGGAGGAACAUCUGUGGCGAAGGCGACUGCCUGGACCAGCACUGACACUGAGGCACGAAAGCGUGGGGAGCAAACAGGAUUAGAUACCCUGGUAGUCCACGCCCUAAACGAUGCGAACUGGAUGUUGGGAGCAACUAGGCUCUCAGUAUCGAAGCUAACGCGUUAAGUUCGCCGCCUGGGGAGUACGGUCGCAAGACUGAAACUCAAAGGAAUUGACGGGGGCCCGCACAAGCGGUGGAGUAUGUGGUUUAAUUCGAUGCAACGCGCAGAACCUUACCUGGCCUUGACAUCCACGGAACUUUCCAGAGAUGGAUUGGUGCCUUCGGGAACCGUGAGACAGGUGCUGCAUGGCUGUCGUCAGCUCGUGUCGUGAGAAUGUUGGGUAAGUCCCGCAACGAGCGCAACCCUUGUCCUUAGUUGCCAGCACGUAAUGGUGGGAACUCUAAGGAGACCGCCGGUGACAACCGAGAAGGUGGGGGAUGAACGUCAAGUCAUUCAUGGCCCUUACGGCCAGGCUAACCCACGGUACUAC